RNAcentral lists this small RNA (1010 nucleotides) under Pan troglodytes (chimpanzee). RNAcentral describes it as "processed transcript". Lineage: Eukaryota; Metazoa; Chordata; Mammalia; Primates; Hominidae. The record is from RNAcentral.
GUUUCCCGAGGCCGCCCGCGCGUGGACGGUUGGGGUUAGCGGCCGCGGGGGCCGGUGGGGGUCGUGGGGCCUCCCCCACCCGAGUACAGGCGAGCGAGCGGCAUCCGGGCGGACCCCCGCCUCGGGGACCGGGAAACUGAGGCUCGGGCGGCCCCGAGACGCCGUCAAGGUCAUGUAGGUGGUGGGGGCUUGCACCUUCGCCUCCCGACUCCAUCCAGUUCGUGUUUGCUGUGAGGACGGUGUCCCUGGCCAGUGUCCUUCCACCUGUCCACAAGCAUGGGGAACAUCUUCGCCAACCUCUUCAAGGGCCUUUUUGGCAAAAAAGAAAUGCGCAUCCUCAUGGUGGGCCUGGAUGCUGCAGGGAAGACCACGAUCCUCUACAAGCUUAAGCUGGGUGAGAUCGUGACCACCAUUCCCACCAUAGGUGAGGUGGGGGCCAGCAGGGAGUGGGCUGGGCUGGCCUGGGCCAAGGUACAAGGCCUCACCCUGCAUCCCGCACCCAGGCUUCAACGUGGAAACCGUGGAGUACAAGAACAUCAGCUUCACUGUGUGGGACGUGGGUGGCCAGGACAAGAUCCGGCCCCUGUGGCGCCACUACUUCCAGAACACACAAGGCCUGAUCUUCGUGGUGGACAGCAAUGACAGAGAGCGUGUGAACGAGGCCCGUGAGGAGCUCAUGAGGAUGCUGGCCGAGGACGAGCUCCGGGAUGCUGUCCUCCUGGUGUUCGCCAACAAGCAGGACCUCCCCAACGCCAUGAAUGCGGCUGAGAUCACAGACAAGCUGGGGCUGCACUCCCUACGCCACAGAAACUGGUACAUUCAGGCCACCUGCGCCACCAGCGGUGACGGGCUCUAUGAAGGACUGGACUGGCUGUCCAAUCAGCUCCGGAACCAGAAGUGAACGUGACCCCCCUCCCUCUCACUCCUCUUGCCCUCUGCUUUACUCUCAUGUGGCAAACGUGCGGCUCGUGGUGUGAGUGCCAGAAGCUGCCUCCGUGGUUUGGUCACCG